GGGUUGUGAGGUUAAGCGACUAAGCGUACACGGUGGAUGCCCUGGCAGUCAGAGGCGAUGAAGGACGUGCUAAUCUGCGAUAAGCGUCGGUAAGGUGAUAUGAACCGUUAUAACCGGCGAUUUCCGAAUGGGGAAACCCAGUGUGAUUCGUCACACUAUCAUUAACUGAAUCCAUAGGUUAAUGAGGCGAACCGGGGGAACUGAAACAUCUAAGUACCCCGAGGAAAAGAAAUCAACCGAGAUUCCCCCAGUAGCGGCGAGCGAACGGGGAGCAGCCCAGAGCCUGAAUCAGUGUGUGUGUUAGUGGAAGCGUCUGGAAAGGCGCGCGAUACAGGGUGACAGCCCCGUACACAAAAAUGCACAUACUGUGAGCUCGAUGAGUAGGGCGGGACACGUGGUAUCCUGUCUGAAUAUGGGGGGACCAUCCUCCAAGGCUAAAUACUCCUGACUGACCGAUAGUGAACCAGUACCGUGAGGGAAAGGCGAAAAGAACCCCGGCGAGGGGAGUGAAAAAGAACCUGAAACCGUGUACGUACAAGCAGUGGGAGCACAGAGCAAUCUGUGUGACUGCGUACCUUUUGUAUAAUGGGUCAGCGACUUAUAUUCUGUAGCAAGGUUAACCGAAUAGGGGAGCCGAAGGGAAACCGAGUCUUAACUGGGCGUUAAGUUGCAGGGUAUAGACCCGAAACCCGGUGAUCUAGCCAUGGGCAGGUUGAAGGUUGGGUAACACUAACUGGAGGACCGAACCGACUAAUGUUGAAAAAUUAGCGGAUGACUUGUGGCUGGGGGUGAAAGGCCAAUCAAACCGGGAGAUAGCUGGUUCUCCCCGAAAGCUAUUUAGGUAGCGCCUCGUGAAUUCAUCUCCGGGGGUAGAGCACUGUUUCGGCAAGGGGGUCAUCCCGACUUACCAACCCGAUGCAAACUGCGAAUACCGGAGAAUGUUAUCACGGGAGACACACGGCGGGUGCUAACGUCCGUCGUGAAGAGGGAAACAACCCAGACCGCCAGCUAAGGUCCCAAAGUCAUGGUUAAGUGGGAAACGAUGUGGGAAGGCCCAGACAGCCAGGAUGUUGGCUUAGAAGCAGCCAUCAUUUAAAGAAAGCGUAAUAGCUCACUGGUCGAGUCGGCCUGCGCGGAAGAUGUAACGGGGCUAAACCAUGCACCGAAGCUGCGGCAGCGACGCUGAUGCGUUGUUGGGUAGGGGAGCGUUCUGUAAGCCUGUGAAGGUGUGCUGUGAGGCAUGCUGGAGGUAUCAGAAGUGCGAAUGCUGACAUAAGUAACGAUAAAGCGGGUGAAAAGCCCGCUCGCCGGAAGACCAAGGGUUCCUGUCCAACGUUAAUCGGGGCAGGGUGAGUCGACCCCUAAGGCGAGGCCGAAAGGCGUAGUCGAUGGGAAACAGGUUAAUAUUCCUGUACUUGGUGUUACUGCGAAGGGGGGACGGAGAAGGCUAUGUUGGCCGGGCGACGGUUGUCCCGGUUUAAGCGUGUAGGCUGGUUUUCCAGGCAAAUCCGGAAAAUCAAGGCUGAGGCGUGAUGACGAGGCACUACGGUGCUGAAGCAACAAAUGCCCUGCUUCCAGGAAAAGCCUCUAAGCAUCAGGUAACAUCAAAUCGUACCCCAAACCGACACAGGUGGUCAGGUAGAGAAUACCAAGGCGCUUGAGAGAACUCGGGUGAAGGAACUAGGCAAAAUGGUGCCGUAACUUCGGGAGAAGGCACGCUGAUAUGUAGGUGAAGUCCCUCGCGGAUGGAGCUGAAAUCAGUCGAAGAUACCAGCUGGCUGCAACUGUUUAUUAAAAACACAGCACUGUGCAAACACGAAAGUGGACGUAUACGGUGUGACGCCUGCCCGGUGCCGGAAGGUUAAUUGAUGGGGUUAGCGCAAGCGAAGCUCUUGAUCGAAGCCCCGGUAAACGGCGGCCGUAACUAUAACGGUCCUAAGGUAGCGAAAUUCCUUGUCGGGUAAGUUCCGACCUGCACGAAUGGCGUAAUGAUGGCCAGGCUGUCUCCACCCGAGACUCAGUGAAAUUGAACUCGCUGUGAAGAUGCAGUGUACCCGCGGCAAGACGGAAAGACCCCGUGAACCUUUACUAUAGCUUGACACUGAACAUUGAGCCUUGAUGUGUAGGAUAGGUGGGAGGCUUUGAAGUGUGGACGCCAGUCUGCAUGGAGCCGACCUUGAAAUACCACCCUUUAAUGUUUGAUGUUCUAACGUUGACCCGUGAUCCGGGUUGCGGACAGUGUCUGGUGGGUAGUUUGACUGGGGCGGUCUCCUCCUAAAGAGUAACGGAGGAGCACGAAGGUUGGCUAAUCCUGGUCGGACAUCAGGAGGUUAGUGCAAUGGCAUAAGCCAGCUUGACUGCGAGCGUGACGGCGCGAGCAGGUGCGAAAGCAGGUCAUAGUGAUCCGGUGGUUCUGAAUGGAAGGGCCAUCGCUCAACGGAUAAAAGGUACUCCGGGGAUAACAGGCUGAUACCGCCCAAGAGUUCAUAUCGACGGCGGUGUUUGGCACCUCGAUGUCGGCUCAUCACAUCCUGGGGCUGAAGUAGGUCCCAAGGGUAUGGCUGUUCGCCAUUUAAAGUGGUACGCGAGCUGGGUUUAGAACGUCGUGAGACAGUUCGGUCCCUAUCUGCCGUGGGCGCUGGAGAACUGAGGGGGGCUGCUCCUAGUACGAGAGGACCGGAGUGGACGCAUCACUGGUGUUCGGGUUGUCAUGCCAAUGGCACUGCCCGGUAGCUAAAUGCGGAAGAGAUAAGUGCUGAAAGCAUCUAAGCACGAAACUUGCCCCGAGAUGAGUUCUCCCUGACUCCUUGAGAGUCCUGAAGGAACGUUGAAGACGACGACGUUGAUAGGCCGGGUGUGUAAGCGCAGCGAUGCGUUGAGCUAACCGGUACUAAUGAACCGUGAGGCUUAACCUUACAACGCCGAAGGUGUUU
This 2933-nucleotide ribosomal RNA is filed under the name Escherichia coli. Its description in RNAcentral is "bacterial LSU rRNA". It matches the Rfam family "Bacterial large subunit ribosomal RNA". Lineage: Bacteria; Pseudomonadati; Pseudomonadota; Gammaproteobacteria; Enterobacterales; Enterobacteriaceae. The record is from RNAcentral.